This is a long non-coding RNA of Harpia harpyja (harpy eagle), 2704 nucleotides long. RefSeq lists it as uncharacterized. The record is from RefSeq and is a predicted model, not a curated record. NCBI's taxonomy places the organism in Eukaryota, Metazoa, Chordata, Aves, Accipitriformes, Accipitridae. The transcript is spliced from 3 exons.
GACGCGUGCGCGGCAGCGCGAGACUGAAGCGCCCAGCAGGAAGGAGCCCCGAGAGGCGGGCGGGAAGCAGGCUUGCGGGAGGGCCGCGCCUGGGGCGUACGUGCUGCCCCCACCGGCGGGGUACUCGCCGGAACGGGGGGCACUAGGGGCUCUCUUCUCAAAAACGAAGCAUCAUAAAAGCCAUCGAGCCUCUCAACAACGGCCGCCUGCCGUCUGCUCAGCUCAUACUUAGGGGCUCUGGAUUUUCAUCUGCUUUCGUGAUACGGAGGAGGGGGUGAGACCGACUAGAAAAAGUCAACAAAACCCACGGAAGCAACGUCACCUGACCUCUGAUGAGUCAUUGGAGAAACAUGAUCAGCCUUUUGCUACCAGUGCUACAGGGAGACUAUCUCUUGAUGCAGAACUGCUCAGCAAAGGGAACAAAUGAGGUAUCGGAGAACUGAUUUACUUAAGCUAUUCCCCCUAAAUAAGAUGUCAUCACCCUAACUAUUUUCACCUAUCAAAACUACCUCCGUUCUCCCUACUUCAGUCUAAUAAUGUUUCCACAAAUGUGAUCCAGGAAAACAAAAUAAACCAUCUGCUGUAGAUACAAAGAAUUAAUGCUCUAAAGGAGACAAUUCACCAGGCAUGAAAGUGGUUUAAAAUCAGUAAAUUACAUUCUUGCAGCUGCCAGAUGUGAAAUGAAAAAGGAUUAGAAAUUGUAAAAUACUUCCCCUCUUGUGAAAAACAUCUUUUUGAAGAGUUGACAGCCCUCUGGAUUACAGACUGAGGACUGGGUGCCCAUUGAGACAGACAAACAAUUUUGGUAAAGACGACGGUUUCUAUGGAAACAUUGAGGCUGCACAAAUGACAGGAAGAUGCAGCUGGGAGAGAGGGCCCCAUGGAAGUGAGACCGCACUUUUCUAAAGCCAAACUUCCCCAUCUUGAGCAGCCCUGUGAAGAGCUGAUACAGAAAUCAUCUUCAUGAUGCAUGCACCAAGAAGAAAGGUCAAACGAUGGUCAUGUCUGCAGGGAGGGAGAAGUUACUCCCCAAACGACCCCCAAGCCCACCGACCUGUUUCCCGAAGGUCCUGAAAGCACAAACUGUGCAUGCACCAAAGUCAAGAAGAUUCUAGAUGCAUAGACUGUGCACGACACCUAAUAAGUCUAAUGAGUUUGAGUGCCUGCCCGAAGGAGGGGCAAGGAGAUUAUAAAAGGGCCCCAGGGAGGCACGCCCUUCUGGAACUGGACCCCUCAACCGGCUGGACCAACGCGGGACCCAGGACUGGUGAAAUCUUUGUCUUCUCUCUCUCUCUACUGCUGACCAAGUCUGGGACUAGGAGAGGAUCCAUCUGCCCCUAGGCUCCUCUCUGAGAAGUCUAGAAAGCAAGGGGGUCCACUCUGAACCUCGUGACUCAAUGGAAGGGCUCUCCUUAUUUUCUUCCCUGAAGUGAUCCCCAAAUAAGCAAGGCCUGUAGUAUAUGUUUGGUGACAUAUGGUUAGCCCAUGUUACACAGUUUACUGACGUAGUUUCAUGCCAGUUCUUCUUGCGAGCGAAUAAAAGUUGCGUUUUGUGAGUUAAAGGAUCCCUGGUGCUGUUUCACUUUAAUCCUGACCUGGGAAUCGGCGAACCUGAGUCGUCAUCCUGAGAAACUGGGAUGUGACAGAGCUUUCCACAACUCCCAUCUCCCUGAAGCUGAUUAAGUGCUUACUAUUGCAACUUACAUUAAUAACCAGUAGGAGUGACUUGCCCAAACAAAAUGAAGAAGUUAAUAUAUAUUUGAUGGUCCAAGAAAUAACUUUCUCUCUUCCUGUCCUUCUUGGUCUUGCUCCAAUUAGUAAGCAUUUGUCCCAGUCUUUUUUCCAAGAAGGAACCAUGUUAACGUUCAGCGUUUUAUUUAUGUUCCUUUCUUCUUAUAUGUGCAGAGUAAGGCCAUUAGCAGCCAGAGACACCACACCAACUUUUUAAAAAACUUAAAGGAAAUAUUUAGUAAUAUAGAGAUUAUAAAGUAAUAAUAGAGAAUACAUAGUAAUAAUAGACAUUUCAAUUCCACAAUAUCACAGUUUUGCUCCCUUUCUAGAUACAUCAUGUCUCAAUCUGAUAGGGUUUUCACAAAGAAAGAAACUUUCCAAGGAACCUCAACUUGCUUUAUCACAAGCAGCAGUAUCAUUGUAAUCAAUGAGGCAAAGAUUCUGAGAAAAUAAGAGGCAAAUUUGACAUCUACACAUCUGAAUGUUUCUCUGGAAAACUAGGUUCUGCUUUUUUGGAGUACCAUCCAGUAAGCAAAUUACACCAAGCUUUACAGCACAGGAAUUCUAUGCUAAUUUGUUGUGCCUCCCAUGGGGACACGCUGCAAUUUUUUCUGACUCUUUUUUUCUUCUCUGUCUUUUAAAACUAAGAUGCACUACCACAUACUUCGUCCCAUCUUGGUAUUCCUUUCCCAACUGCUCCCUCUAAUUACCUUUGCCUAGGCAUCUCCACAGCUCCCAGCCCCUAUCACCAUCUACACGCCACUUGCUCUUGUCCACACUAUGCUCAUUUUCAAAACCUUCUUCUUCCACACUGUCUGUUCUGGGGAGAAAGGACAUCAUCAGGUAUACAAAGCUCCUAAUUUUAGCUCCGGUGCAAACACAGGACACAGUUAUUACAGUUGUAACCUGUAGUUAAAACUACAAGUAAAUCAGCCAGCAACAAGAUAUGCAGAAAACACCACGUUUGUUGCUU